Molecule: long non-coding RNA, 981 nt
Organism: Uranotaenia lowii
Lineage: Eukaryota; Metazoa; Arthropoda; Insecta; Diptera; Culicidae
Exons: 2
Source: RefSeq, a predicted model, not a curated record
UUUCAGGACUUGUCCUGACUUUCGAGAGGUUGUCAAAAUCUAUUUUGGCUUUGGAAAAACAAUUAUAAGGCCAUAUACUCUGGGGAAAUGCCAUUACCAGAACAAUUUGUUUUCUCUAACUCAAUUUUGCUCUUCUUAUAGCCAAAAGGCUUUCUCCAGAUCUACCAAAACUCGAAAAUAACGGUUGUUGCAAAUCACAGUGUAAACAAAAAAACAAAAAUAAUUCGUGAUUCAAAUUUGAUUCCUGUUGUUCUUAAAUACUCUGCAGUGAGAACAGCUACCGAAAGCUAAUUUCCUCGUAACUUUUAGAAAAAAAAGUUUGAUAUUUUCUGUCCACCGCCGGAUCCGUUGUUCAAACAUUCCAAGAGUAAUUAGCAUUCCGGCAAACUGCUUCAGAAAGUUCGAGCACGAAGUUGUCUUCCUCCUGAAAAAUCGGAACCAUAAAAUCUUCAGAAAUGGUUAUCAACUUUUCGGAAUUAACAGAUGUUUCGGAAUACGGCUUGUUCGCUGAAAGUGAUCGGAAUAAAACCGGCGAGUAUAGCUGUGUGCUGCUGAAUUCUUCUCUAUUCAUUAGGAACAAAUACCGCCACCGGAUCAUCUCAGAAUCAUGGAAGUGUUUAUGCAUAAAAUCUUUGAAAUGGACAGCGGAAGAUGGAUUACGAUACUGCUAAUUAAUGGAUACCUACAUUCGAGUUGGAUGAAAAAAGUACUACUUCCGGGAACAGAAACAGCUACGAUUUUUUACAUGUUCCGAAUUGAAAGGGCAGCUUAACUCCAUUUUAAAUUAAUAAUUCAAUAGUGAAAGUGAAUUCAACAUUGUGAUAAAAUUUUAUUUGAUAAUUAAGAAUACAGAAUUUAAAAACAUUUAUUUUUUAUCUUUGCUACUUAAAGAUCUGUUUGAUAGGUAUCUUACGAACACAUUCGAAGCUUCUUUGGGGGGUCCAAUUCCGAUAGCAAAUAAAAGUUUACAGUCGAUUCUUG